This 117-nucleotide ribosomal RNA is filed under the name Pteropus alecto (black flying fox). The record is from RNAcentral. Lineage: Eukaryota; Metazoa; Chordata; Mammalia; Chiroptera; Pteropodidae.
AUCUACAGCCAUAUCCCCUGAAUGUGUCCGAUCUCGUCUGAUUUUGGAAACUAAACGGAUCAGGCCUGGUUAGUAUUUGGAUGGGAGACCACCUAGGAAUACCAGGUGCUGUAGGCA